AAAUGAUUCACAUCACUAUUCUAUAGAGCACGUAAGAUUCUGGCUCCGCCCCGUUACUCGCUCUUCACUGAACCUAGAUGUAGAGGGAGAAGUUUGAACUCCGAGUGGAGUAGAAGUAAAGAGAGUUUUUAACCUUCACACGUAUCUGUAUCAGCUCUUAGUACUAUACAGGUGACGUUUAAUCAGACUGCUGAUCUGCCCUGUCUACGGAAAUGUUCUGGUUUGGCAAAAUGGACUCUCAUCAGUAACCGAGAUGAUGUAGUGGCUGAGUGUGAUCAGACAUCCUGCAGGUCAUUAAAGGAGGGAUUUAAUAUUUCCCAUGAUAGGUACCUGAAGGGAGAUCUCACCCUCACCAUCACUGCAGCUGAUUACAAUAAGAGGAACACGUACACGUGUUGGUGUGGUGACAGAGGCGUUAAUGACGUGCGUCUCGGUAUCAAGCCGCCGACAUCAUCAGUUAAGAUAAAACCUGGUGGAGAUCUGAAGAUGGAUUUGCACGUACCAGAGCUAGCGAAGGUGAUCUAUGAGGGUGAGGAGAUCUGCAGUGUGGAUAAAAGCUCACUACACUGUACAGAAGAAUACAGACCGAGAACAUCACUCUCUAACACAGUUCUUACACUGAGAGGAGUAAACUUCACUGAUGGUGGUGUUUACAUCGUCCGAGACACGGGGAAUAAUGAAGAUCUUCAUAUUUACUCCGUAUCAGUGUGUGUGUGUGUGUGUGGAAAAUUCAACAUUUAUCAGAAUAAACUGAAUUAUGGGAAACAUUGAGUACAGAUUUAUGUUUGUGAUGGUCUGAUAACUGCAAACAGUCUGAUUUUGGUAUCUGAUAAUGGCUUUAAUUAAAUAAGGUCACAUGACCAUUUAGCCUACAAGUUAUUCCAAACAAUAACAUAUAAACAUAAAUCUAUAUAAAUAUCAGUGAUUAUAAUAUAAUAUAUGAAGAUAUAUAACGAUCCUUCUGGGCUUCUCUCAUUGUCUGGUGUUUGACUUCAUCUGCAGUGUACUGAA
Ictalurus furcatus (blue catfish) is the source of this 1011-nucleotide long non-coding RNA. RefSeq lists it as uncharacterized. The record is from RefSeq and is a predicted model, not a curated record. Lineage: Eukaryota; Metazoa; Chordata; Actinopteri; Siluriformes; Ictaluridae. The transcript is spliced from 3 exons.